GCAUCGGUGGUGGUUCAGUGGUAGAAUGCUCGCCUUGUCACGCGAGCGGCCCGGGUUCGAUUCCCUGCCGAUGCA
RNAcentral lists this transfer RNA (75 nucleotides) under Cordylochernes scorpioides. Its description in RNAcentral is "tRNA-Asp". It matches the Rfam family "tRNA". Rfam says of the family: Transfer RNA (tRNA) molecules are approximately 80 nucleotides in length. Their secondary structure includes four short double-helical elements and three loops (D, anti-codon, and T loops). The record is from RNAcentral. Lineage: Eukaryota; Metazoa; Arthropoda; Arachnida; Pseudoscorpiones; Chernetidae.